GAUGAACGCUGACAGAAUGCUUAACACAUGCAAGUCAACUUGAACUUCGGUUUGGGUGGCGGACGGGUGAGUAACGCGUAAAGAACUUGCCUCACAGAUAGGGACAACAUUUGGAAACGAAUGCUAAUACCUGAUAUUAUGAUUAUAUGGCAUCGUAUAAUUAUGAAAGUUAUAUGCGCUGUGAGAGAGCUUUGCGUCCCAUUAGCUAGUUGGAGAGGUAACGGCCCACCAAGGCGAUGAUGGGUAGCCGGCCUGAGAGGGUGAUCGGCCACAAGGGGACGGAGACACGGCCCUUACUCCUACGGGAGGCAGCAGUGGGGAAUAUUGGACAAUGGACCAAGAGUCUGAUCCAGCAAUUCUGUGUGCACGAUGAAGUUUUUCGGAAUGUAAAGUGCUUUCAGUUGGGAAGAAAAAAAUGACGGUACCAACAGAAGAAGUGACGGCUAAAUACGUG
RNAcentral lists this ribosomal RNA (454 nucleotides) under uncultured bacterium. RNAcentral's name for it is "partial 16S ribosomal RNA". It matches the Rfam family "Bacterial small subunit ribosomal RNA", at positions 28 to 507 of the family's 1533-position model. The record is from RNAcentral.